CAAUAGCGUAUAUUAAAGUUGUUGCAGUUAAAAAGCUCGUAGUUGGAUUUCGGGGCAGCCUGGCUGGUCCGCCGCAAGGCGAGUACUGGUCAGCCGCCCUUCCUCUCGAAAGCCCCGACUGCUCUUUAUUGCAGUGGUCGGGUAGUUCGGGACGUUUACUUUGAAAAAAUUAGAGUGUUCAAGGCAGGCCUACGCCUGAAUACAUUAGCAUGGAAUAAUGGAAGAGGACCUCGGUCCUAUUUUGUUGGUUUCCAGGACCGAAGUAAUGAUUAAGAGGGACAGUUGGGGGCAUUCGUAUGUAAUUGUCAGAGGUGAAAUUCUCGGAUUUAUGAAAGACGAACAACUGCGAAAGCAUUUGCCAAGGAUGUUUUCAUUAA
This 377-nucleotide ribosomal RNA is filed under the name uncultured eukaryote. RNAcentral describes it as "partial 18S ribosomal RNA". It matches the Rfam family "Eukaryotic small subunit ribosomal RNA", at positions 592 to 976 of the family's 1831-position model. The record is from RNAcentral.